AACGAACGCUGGCGGCAUGCCUAACACAUGCAAGUCGAACGAGACCUUCGGGUCUAGUGGCGCACGGGUGCGUAACGCGUGGGAACCUGCCCUUAGGUUCGGAAUAACUCCCCGAAAGGGGUGCUAAUACCGGAUAAUGUCUUCGGACCAAAGAUUUAUCGCCUUUGGAUGGGCCCGCGUUGGAUUAGCUAGUUGGUAGGGUAAAAGCCUACCAAGGCGACGAUCCAUAGCUGGUCUGAGAGGAUGAUCAGCCACACUGGGACUGAGACACGGCCCAGACUCCUACGGAAGGCAGCAGUGGGGAAUAUUGGACGAGGGGCGAAAGCCUGAUCCAGCAAUGCCGCGUGAGUGAUGAAGGCCUUAGGGUUGUAAAGCUCUUUUACCCGGGAUGAUAAUGACAGUACCGGGAGAAUAAGCUCCGGCUAACUCCGUG
RNAcentral lists this ribosomal RNA (433 nucleotides) under uncultured bacterium. RNAcentral's name for it is "partial 16S ribosomal RNA". It matches the Rfam family "Bacterial small subunit ribosomal RNA", at positions 29 to 507 of the family's 1533-position model. The record is from RNAcentral.